Molecule: non-coding RNA, 3505 nt
Organism: Chlorocebus sabaeus (green monkey)
Lineage: Eukaryota; Metazoa; Chordata; Mammalia; Primates; Cercopithecidae
Source: RefSeq, a predicted model, not a curated record
CCAGGGUGGUCUCGAACUCCUGGGCUCAAGCUCUCUGUCUGCCUCUACCUCCCAAAGUGUUGGGAUUACAGGCAUGGGCCACUGCACCCAGCCAACUUAUGUUUCGUUGAACAGUCAUUUGAGUAUAAAAUAUAGGUUAUUUAUCAAAAAAGUGAUAUAAAUGUUUUUAUGUGCCACUUCCUUGAAAACUAGUUAGGAUUGACAGCUUUGCUCUUUGUAAAAUUCAAAUCUAAAUUAGUGUUCUAUACUAAAUGAUUCUUUUCUUACAUGGAAAAUUUUUGCAGAAAGGUAAAAAUAAAGUUUGCAAGAACUUUGACACUAGUAGAUUAAUACUUAGAAUAGAUAUGGUAAUCUUUUAGAAAGGUUAUGUAUAAAUGUCCAUCUGUUUUACUCUCUUUAAAAAAAGUCAGUCUAGGAAGGGAAGUUUUCAGCUAUGUAUGUAUGUUUGUACAUUGAGUGUGUAUUUUUUUUUUUUUUUUUUUUUUUUUCCCCUUAUUGUGCCACCUCCUGGAAGAAUGAAGUUAUGCAUUCUUGUAAUUCAUGUGGCUUUUCAUGUACCACUUCCUUGAACUCUAGUUAGGAGUGACGACUUACUGUCUUUGUAAGAUUUUGAUCUACAUUAUUGACCUAGUCUUUUUGUCAGGGCUGUUUUGAGCAAGCUUUACUGCUUCAAACAUUCAUAUCACACAAAGUUGUUUUUAAUGUGUUUUGACUUGGCUCACUUUGUUAGUGACGGAAUCUACCCUUGAUUUGACUUUGACUCAUACUUUCUACUCACCUGUAAUGAUGAAUAUAAAAUCAAAUCAGGUAUGGCUGUGGUCAGUAUUAUUCAAAUUGAGUUAGAUUUAUUUAAUUUUGUCUGAUUUCUUUGGUUAAAGUUUCAAUCUGCUACCUAUUAGCUAGUAUCAGAAAGUAUGUGUUAAGUAGCCUCUCUAUAGGUGAUUUAAAAGAUUUAAAUAUUGAUUUAAAUGUUAGUUUUCUACCUAAUCAGUCAAUACAGACAUAAUAGAGUAGCAAAGGAUAUCUCUGUUUUUCCUUUUCAGCUUAUGUUUAAAAAUAGAACCCAGACUUUAUGUUUUGUCAUAUAUCUGUGAUGUAUAUAAUAUAUAAAUACUUUCUUAUUUCAAGAAUUUUGUUAGUAUCUUUGUUUCAUUUUUUUAAGGUAUACUUUCUACAGCAUUGACAACUACUGUUUCUUCUCAUCACUUAUUUUCUCUUAAAUUUUCAACUUUCAUUUUGGUAAAACACUUGAUUGCAGAACUCAGCUAGUUUUUAAACACAUUAAUGAGUAUUAACUGUUAAAGAAUUUGUCUCUUUUCAUCCAGUUUUAUGAAUGAGACAUGGAAUCUUUGGGGAUUGACAAAAUGAUCUGCCUUCCAUUUACAAGGGUAAAAGUAGAAACUGUACAUUGUCAUCCAUGUGAAUCAGGUCUCCUGUUCAUUGUGGGGUGAUUUCAAGUUGUAAAAAUCUUUGCUAGUUACUGAGUUGCUGUGAUGUUAGACUGGAAAUACCAUUUUAAUUCUUACCACAUUUUGUCUGAGGUAGCAAUUGAUCCCUAAUUUCCAUUUUAUUAACAAGGUACUCUAAUGCUACUUUAUUGUUCAAAUUAACUAAUGGGUUUUCCAUUAAGAAUGAGGGGGUUUAUAGGCCAUGUGUUUUUAGUCGGUGAAAUUGUUUAACAUCCUGUUAUUAGUUUUCUGAUUUAUUUUAGAAGUUCUUUAAGUUAGUCUUAACACAUAGCCAUUCUUUCAGCAUUAAGAGAUGUUUAUCUAGUGCCUUGGGAACUUUGGAGCAUUUGAAGAAUAAGGUCAUUUUUAUUUUUGAAGCACAGUAAACAUGGGGAAGACAAUUUAGGCUUCCUGAGUCUUGCUGUGUUCUUUUUUUUGUGAAUAGUAAGCUGUGACUAUUAAUGGUUUCAUAGACUUACAAUUUGGAAAAUUUGGUAAUCAAGAAAGAUUGUGAAACUUUAAGAUCUUUAAGAUCUUAUCUUGUGGGUUGUGGCAUUUGACAUUGUCAGGUUAAGAAUAGUCAGACUAACAGGAUAUCAAGGUACUAUGAAUGAACAUUAAAUUAAUAAUACUUUUCUGCCAAAUUUAUUCCUCAUUUCAGCACUUCUUGAAAUUUUAAAAAAUCGUUCAGUAAGCUCAAGAUUGUAUAUUUUGAAAUAUGACUUAACAUGCUUAUAAAUCAUGUAUGAUUGUCGUAUCAUUGUUACUAUAUAUAGAAUAUAAUUCUUCGGUAAGGAUCACUCAAUAAUAAUGAAUGUGAAGCAGUAUUUUCACAGUACCAAGAAACCUGCUAAUAUUUUCAGUAGUAAUUGACUCAUUGUUCAGUAACAAUUGGUAUGUAUGGUGUAUCUUAUUUAAUGUAUUUGAUUAUUUAUGAAUAUAGAAAGCAUCAUAGAUACAGUAUGCAGUGGUUUAUUUUUAAUUUUAAAAUUUAUUUGAAUCCUUUUUAUUGGUGGCUGCUACCAUAGUUAGAAAUUAAAGUUAUUUUCAUAGUAUUCUUUUUGUGAUUGAAGAAUGAAUUUUCUGAAUAGAUCUUCAAAGAGAAACUUCCUAGGUAAACUCACCUCAGGGUUGGGAUUUAGUUUUAGUAUAUGUAUGAUUGAAGAAAUAAAAGGUAAGAAAAGAGAGAAAAGUAAAGAAAAGUCCAGUGUAGCUUACUACUUAUUUUUUUUCUCAUUCUUCUAAUUAUUUGCUUUGUUCCUUUAUUUAAAACUCUGGCUUUUCAGUAUCUUUAUUGUCAUUUUUACACAUAUCCAUUUUUUUCUUUGGUGUUAUUUCUGUACCACUGAAAAUUUGCCUUUCAUUUUUUACACAUUGUCAGUAUUUGAAAAUAGGGUUGCUGUUGGUUUAGACUCAGUGCUCAUCUGCAUGAUCAGCCUGUGUCAUUUCUUGCCUUAGGCCUUACCUCCUUUCAGUGUAUUGACUUUCUAGGUUAUAUCUUUUCUCAUUUAGAGGCCAAUUAUUCUUUUUUCUUUCUGUUGCUAGCAGUUUUAUAUCACCACCUGUUCUUUCCAUUUCAGAAGUUCAUUUUCUGAUAUAAAGCUAAAUAGCUGUGCUGACAUAAGUUCUUUUCAUCUUCUACAGCAGGUUCAAUGUUUUGCUCAUAAAGAGAAACUAUAGUUUCAACUUGGGUCAUGAUUAGAAUUUUCAGUGAAGGUAUCUGUCAGUAUUUAUGGCAGCUGGGUGCUUCUUGCCCUUCUUUAAGCAGUUCGGGGACCCCAAAUCUGUCAACAGUUGUGAGUAUGGAAGAGCCCUCAUUAUGGGUGAAAGGGGUGCUUACUUUAACUUCAAAGGAGGGUAUAAUUUCUCUUAAAAAGGGAAACAUUGUACUUACCCGCCUACCUAGUGCAUAGUACAGGUUGAGUGAGUGAACUAGGUUUUUGUUGAUUGUAGUAGUGGUGGUUUUGUUUGUUUUAUUGUUGUUUUUCUGCUUUUUGGUUGAAUGUGUAAAUGAAGGCCUGAGGUGAUUGAAUUAUUUGCAAAUUCAGUUAGUAAAA